UAUCUUGUCGCGCCUGCAUAUGACAGUAGUCAACAUAUGCAGCGGACGGAACAAGUGCAGGUUCAGAGUUGCACUUGAUCUGAACCUGCAAACAUCCUGCGUGGCGAGCUGGGCCGUGGGCCUUGUAGCGUGCGUGUGUUGAGGGUGGCUGGCCCAGGAUGCCAGCUACAUAUUGUACCCAGACCUGAUCGAUUGGGCAGGAAGGAAAAUAUCUGAAGUUAAACUCUCUCCUCACCACGCUCCUCACCUGCUCCCUUCUCUCUUUCUCCCCCAAAUUCUAGAUCGAGAUCCCAGGGCAUUACAUAUCUAUGUGACAUACCUUAGGUUAAGAUUAGACAGGCCCACAAGCCGUGUUGUAAGAGCCUGAGAGGCGGAGAUGUUUGCCGAUUAGUAGAUCAGCUUCUGGUUCACACCGGAGGGCGGAAUCCACACCUCCGUCAGUCAGGUCGUCGCUGAUGGUGAUACUGAUGCGACCGCUCGAUUCAGCCCUAGCUCCACGGCAGCGGCGGCGGCGGAACGAUCGAGGAUGUAGUCAGAGCAAACGGAUGGCAAAGCGAUGUAUUGUGUGUCUAUGCCCAGGUCGACCUGAUUGUAGCACGUGGCCUAUGGGCUAACAAUUUUGGGCUUGGGCUAUCCAACACUAGUUACGUAAAGGUGAGGCAUACGUGUUUGCUAAUGGCCAGAUUUCCCUAAACAGAAAAACUAAUGUCCAGAUACUAAUUAGCAAUAGGCGUCAAACUCAAUCCAGCGUAGUCCCCGUUGAAUAUCGUUGAGGGGGGCCGAUCGAUAGGGGGGGUCUGGCCCCCGCUCGCCCCCCCUGUGGCUCCGCCACUCAGCAGAUGUAAACGUGGAAGCCGCCCGCUCCGACGUCCAGACGAGGCUCCAGCUCCACGACCGGCGGCAGCUUCCACCACGAGGUGAGCAUGCGGCAUCUGGAAAAACGUCUGUUCCUGACCCUCAAAUGUCACGUUUCCAGGAGAAAACCCGGGCACACCGUGGCUGCCUCGACAUCGACAGUAUGAUGUGCCUGCGCCGUCGGAAACGAUGCUGCUAGAGCCGAAGGGCACCAACACAUCCUCUUCCUCGGGCAGAGGCGGUAACUCAUGACGUGCUGCCAACGGCAAGCCACUCGUCUCCACCUGUUUUGGCUUGGUUUUUUCCUGGUUGGCCUAUACAGUUUCUCAUCAGAACAGAUCAUGGGGGUUCUUUCCACACGUAUCCUCGCCUGGGCGGGCCAUUCCAGAGCUUGCAGGAAGCUGAGAAUGCUCUCGAUAGCCAUCUCGAUGACCUGCGCUCUCCAAUAAUGUGCACAGAUGGGCUUCCGCAAGCGGAAAAAGCGGUACGGCAUGCUCUUUACUGGCCUGAUGGCACAAGAAGGAUGUCUUCCAGAAGCCAUCCAAAACGUGGGAAUAUCAACCUAUUGGUUCAAGCUUUACUGGACAAGUACAGUGAAGAUCACCGCCUUUUGGGGGUUUGCUCUCUGCUCCUCCUCCCGCCUUCAAUCCUUGUCCUGUUACCAGGGUUCCUCCUCCCGCCUUCAAUCCUUGUCCUGUUACCAGGGUUGUCUUAAUUUCUUGUAUUCAUGUACUAAUUGCUGAUACAGUCCAUGCCUGCUUUUUAGGAUCUUGCAUAUGAACUUGAUGAUCUUGUGACCUUCCAAGAAUUUUAUAUGGGGGAGACUGGCUGCCUCAAAAUGUACUGUCAUCUCAAUUUUACUACAAAAACUAAAGGAGCUGAUGAUUCUCACGGUGGCAGCAACAAUCUAUUUCUUUGCUGAAGUCGCACAAAUAAAGGGCGAAAGUGUAGAAUAUGUGCUCAAUUGUUUCUGUAUGGUGCAACAUAAUGACAAUGGCCAAUGCUAUGGUUGUACGACUUAUGGAAAUGUUGAUUUGAAGCACCCUGUCAAUGCUGAUCAAUACGAAGGUCGCCACUCUCGCCCGCACAAAACAUGGUGCGGUUUCGUCCAUCCAGGCGUACCUGCAUACAUCAAGAAUGAGGACAGGCUGGCGGAUGAGGAGGCUAGGAUAAGACGUGUAAACAUGUGCCGUGAUGAACCUCCUAGUCUGGCAAAAUCGGAUGGUGCAAAAAUGCCUGCUGGUUUGGGCAAGAGAGAAGGUGAUGGUUUGGCCAAGAGAGAGGAUGCUUGUUUGGCCAAGAGAGAGGAUACUGGUUUGGCCAAAAGAGAUGAUGGCCAGGGAAGCGGGAAAUACAUUGUACCAGCCAGACGUCAGUUGGUUUGAGUAUCCUCUCGGGUAUAUAGAUAAAUUUGGUUCUAGGUAUAUGUUUGAUCUCACUAAGCAUUAUUGUAUAUUCUUACAAUCUGCAUAGUUGCAUAUUUCCUGCAUGGUUAAUGAAUCUUUAGUUGAUCAACUAGUGCAUGGAUCCUCUCUGUCAAUAAAGAAAAAGAAAAACUAGUGCCUGGGUCCAAAAACAUAUUGAUAGCAUGGUAUUGACAGAGAUUAUCAAGUGUAAGGGCAAUCGUUUCCAAAUUUCUCUGGACAUUUAAGAACUUGGGUCAUUUAGGAUCGAUGAACUACCAAUGCUCUCAAACUCUUUUAAGGCUUGUUUUUCUCUUCAAGUAUAGUGAACAUGGAUGCAUUAUUACUCCCUCCGUUCCUAAAUAGAAGUCUUUUUAGAGAUUUCAAUAUAGACUACUGUCAGGACUGUUGCUGUCAAGUAAUUGCCGGAAUAGCCACAGUACCAUUUCAGUUAGGCUGGCGAUGGUGGACCGUUGAUCUGAAGAUCUCCAGAUGGACGGCUAGGAAGCGCGCGCCCCUUUUACCUUCAAAUUGUACUACAAGUCACUGUAACUCGUCAAACCUGUCGCUGUCUACUUUUCAUAGCUGAACCUCCUUUUAAACCCCCUCCGGCUUGUGGAGAGGGGCAUUCGAGAUUGUACUGGGCUUGGCCCUGGGAGCCGCCGUGUUCCGGCAGGCUAACCCUAGUUCUUGUCUCUCAGAUCCAGCUGAAUUCAAUCCCCAAAUUCCACCAUAAAUUGAGCGUUUUUCUGUGUUCUUCUGAAAUCUUAGCGACAGUCCUAGUUUGGACCUGUCAAUUGGUAUACAGAGCGUAGGUUGAACCUUGGCGGCGAAAUUGAGCUCCGAUUGGGCGGCGGCGUAAGGGAGGCGAA
Molecule: non-coding RNA, 3130 nt
Organism: Aegilops tauschii subsp. strangulata
Lineage: Eukaryota; Viridiplantae; Streptophyta; Magnoliopsida; Poales; Poaceae
Source: RefSeq, a predicted model, not a curated record